CUAACCUGCAUUAAUUCCUCAAAGACAGGGACCAAAUGUCAUCUGUGUAUCAUUCUUAGCAUCUAGCAGUGCCACCCAUUACACACUGGGAAAAUGAUAACGGAACUGUGGUGAAAUUUCAGUGGCUACAAUGGGGGACCACGAGCAGAGUUCAGUGAGCUCUCUGCCACCUCCCGCUAGAUAAGAGAAUGUUGUGAGGGUCAUCACAAGAACAUUAACAACAGUAACAACUGGUGAGCUCUUAACCGUUGUGUCAGGUUUCGUGCUAAGCCCUUUCAAUGCAUUAACUGUUGCUAGAUUCCUACAAUCACACGAAGCAGGUUGUGUCCAUUACACAAAUGAGAAAAAGGAGUUCAAAGUACCCUUUCUGACUGAAGGUCACAUAGCUAAAAUAUAACUAAAUCUGGAUUUACAACGCCCGGUCUCUUCAUCACUAAUACUGAACCAAGAUUUAACUCUGGCAUCAUCAGACAAGAGGUAAGGACACUGAACACGGUGAAUGAACUGGCCUGCCAUUGUCACACAGAUGAUUCAACUAACUUCAACCCUGCACCCAAAUGAUCUGAAAGAUGAAGCCUUUUAGGAGCUGGAGAGGUUUGAACAGCACAUUUCAGAAUGCCCUUUGGCAGAGGAGGAAGGAAUGAAUGCCAAGAAAGAGAUGUCAUUGCAAGGAAGUGGACAUCUGUCACCUGUCUCAAAAAAGUUCACAAAGUGCUAUGCGGGUAACCCAGAGCAUUUAGCCAAAUGUCCCAGUCAAGAUUCCCAGACACACUGGCUCUAACAUCAACAUAGUCUUGUUGGAAAAAGAGGCUGAGCUUGGAUGGUCCUGCCACCUUCCCGACUGGAAAUAUCCUGAGGAUGCUGCUUCUUGGGGCUGCCUUGGUGUGGUGCUGUGGCAGCUGCUGGGCAGAUUCAUGAGGAGCCAGCCCAUGACCCCUGAGCCCUGAGAGUGGGUAGCCAGCCCAGCAGGACAUUCACAGGAGAGGAACAGUGAUCUUAACCUUUAUCCAGGGGGUCUAAGAGUCCCACAAGGGACAGAAUCACAUCCUACUUAUCUGACCCCACAAGGCACCUCAAAUCUACAAGCAUUUUCUUGUUUUUGUUUUUUUAUUGCUAGGGAUGGAACCCAGGGUCUCCUGUGUGCUAGACAAGCACUGAGGCACAUCCCCAGUCCGAGACCAGCCAAGAUCUUUUGAAAAGGUCCAUUGACCUCAUCCUUCCCACUUCACCUUUCAGUCCUUCCCUAUGGCUAAGGAUUAGCAUGUCAGCAAUCUGAAGGUUGGGGUGAGAGAAAGGGCUUAAAGCACCAAUGCCAAUUCUGCCUCUUUUAAAACAAACUUUGGACUUGUGCGAGGCUCUCCUCAGUUGUUUUAAACCUGUUUCAGAGUAGCACCUCUCCUCCUUCAAACUUGUCUUUCAAACUCAGGGAAAUGAAGCCUUUCCAGACAAACUCUAGUGACAGCUCCACUUACCCUGU
Long non-coding RNA from Heterocephalus glaber (naked mole-rat), 1477 nucleotides. RefSeq lists it as uncharacterized. The record is from RefSeq and is a predicted model, not a curated record. NCBI's taxonomy places the organism in Eukaryota, Metazoa, Chordata, Mammalia, Rodentia, Bathyergidae.